RNAcentral lists this unclassified non-coding RNA (1048 nucleotides) under Pocillopora damicornis (cauliflower coral). Its description in RNAcentral is "shaker-related potassium channel tsha2-like, transcript variant X3". Lineage: Eukaryota; Metazoa; Cnidaria; Anthozoa; Scleractinia; Pocilloporidae. The record is from RNAcentral.
CACUUGUGAAUUCAUGAAAAUAAUGUCGAGAUAUGUUGUUUUCUUGGUCUUAGGACGGAAGAGUCUGCAAGGACAACAAUAAUCGAUUUUAAGGCCAAUUAGUCCAGGAAUCCAAACUUAACCAUGGUUAACCAAACCAUGCACAAAACAAAUAAUUGGAUUGACGUUUUUGAAAAGAUAAUUAAAAUUUCAGCAUCAACUCUCACUUCGAGAGCCUGCGAACAGAAAGAUUAUCCGGCCGAUUUCCUUUGUCAACCCGAAUACAAAAUAAUGCUACAAAGAACGUGGUCGCAUAUCGACCUCUGUUUCCAAAAUAUCUCUACUAGCGCCAAAAGAAACGAUUGACGCUCCAGAACAUACAAUUUAAAAGAGAGCAUUCGUUUCCGCUGAAAAUAGGAGAGCAUUCCUUUCCACUGUUAAAUGACCUUACGUGUCUCGAAUCUUUCGUAACCAUCAGAUUGAUGUCAAAAUCUGAAAGUAAUGAAGAGGAGUUAAGAAUUUUAAUACCCGAUGGCAAAGCAAGAGCUGACUUAGUUGGCCAGUGGGAAAAAGCCGAACUUUCGUGAAUCAAAUGAAAGCAGUAUUCUUCUUAAAUCGUCUAGCCAAUAAUUUCACUUUCUUGAAUGGCUGGCUUUGUUUACGUUAUUUAUUCCAAAUGCAUUUAAUUGACUGGCCUUUUAUGACAAGUGGCCUGGCCUUCGAGCCGGAAUCUAUAUCCGCUUGUAAAUAAGUACCCAACUGUCACUUAAAGAAAUGGACAGCACACUAAGCCAGUAAAAUUAUCAGAUUCUGAGUUAAUAUUUAAACUGUGCUGUUUGUGUCAACUUGGCUGAAUCGGUGCAUGUUAUCGGAAUGAUAACAAAUUCCUUCUGAUUAACGCAUGAGUGCUUGAUUCUUGAUCAGUGCAUGCGGCGGUGAGUAAUAUGUAUCGUCUGUGGUUGAAUAGUGGAUUUUCUGUGCACGCCGAUAGACAGUAAUGCACAAUGCCAAUAUCCAACUAGGAGAAAUGGGAGCAAGCUUGAGUACACAUGGAGCAAUCACGUUACGA